CGAGCACGCGCGUGUGGCAUAUCAAUAAGCGGAGGAAAAGAAACUAACAAGGAUUCCCUUAGUAACGGCGAGUGAAGCGGGAAGAGCUCAAAUUUGAAAUCUUCAAGGUUCUACCUUGACGAAUUGUAGUUUAUAGAAGUGUUUUCUGUUAGUGGAGUGGCAAAAGUUCUUUGGAAUAGGACAUCAUAGAGGGUGAGAAUCCCGUAUUUGGUCAUUCCUUCCUAGCGUUGUGAUACACUUUCAACGAGUCGGAUUGUUUGGGAAUGCAGUCCAAAAUGGGUGGUAAAUUUCAUCUAAAGCUAAAUAUUGGCGAGAGACCGAUAGCGAACAAGUACCGUGAGGGAAAGAUGAAAAGAACUUUGAAAAGAGAGUUAAACAGUACGUGAAAUUGUCAAAAGGGAAGCGUUUGACACCAGUGUUGUUUUUCCGAAAAUCAAUUACGAAUGUUUUAUUUUUGAGGAGUUAUGACUUCAUCGGCUUGCUUCCUUUCUUUAUGAAACUUUCUUAAUGCACUUUUCGGUUAACAAGUCAACAUCAAUUUCUUUUGUUGUAAAAGGGUAUGAGGAAGGUGGCUUUCUUUUCGGAGAAAGUGUUUAUAGCCUUGUAGCCUCUGCAAUCGGAGAGAUUGAGGUCUGCAGCGUAGAUCCUUCGGGGUUAGAUACAGUUUGUGCUAAGUUAUAGCUUUUCAUAGACAACUUGUUGACUAUGUUUAGUCUUGUAGCUUACUCGCUGAUGCUAUUUUACCUACGCUUAGGAUGUUGAUGUGAUACUGCGAGCA
RNAcentral lists this ribosomal RNA (778 nucleotides) under uncultured Neocallimastigales. Its description in RNAcentral is "partial large subunit ribosomal RNA". It matches the Rfam family "Eukaryotic large subunit ribosomal RNA", at positions 19 to 646 of the family's 3401-position model. The record is from RNAcentral. Lineage: Eukaryota; Fungi; Neocallimastigomycota; Neocallimastigomycetes; Neocallimastigales.